CCCUUAGAUGUUCUGGGUCGCACGCGCGCUACACUGACGAAUGCAACGAGCUUAUAACCUUGGCCGAUAGGUCUGGGUAAUCUUUGAACGCUGUUCGUGAUUGGGAUAGACCUUUGCAAUUAUGGGUCUUCAACGAGGAAUUCCUAGUAAACGCAAGUCAUCAGCUUGCAUUGAUUACGUCCCUGCCCUUUGUACACACCGCCCGUCGCACCUACCGAUUGAAUGGUCCGGUGAAAUCUCGGGACGGCGGCUUGGUCGCUUGCGUCCGACUGCUGAAACUUGAUUAAACCAUAUCAUUUAGAGGAAGGUGAAGUCGUAACA
This 321-nucleotide ribosomal RNA is filed under the name uncultured eukaryote. RNAcentral's name for it is "partial 18S ribosomal RNA". It matches the Rfam family "Eukaryotic small subunit ribosomal RNA", at positions 1470 to 1796 of the family's 1831-position model. The record is from RNAcentral.